GCCAGACUGGGCCACACGUGCUUCUUCUUUGCAUCCUUUGAAAUAAGAAGUGACGGAUCUUCAUGACGAUAUACAUGUCGGUUCUAGAUGUUGCAUGCGGGUUACGAGACAAUGGAUGACACUGGCGUAUAGCCAGAGGGCCUAUCUUUUUUUUUAGGCUUCGGACAUGGUGUCCUAUCUUUUUUUUCUUCUAAGAAAAGCCAUCAUGGCGAGCUUUAUUAAUCAGGAAAUAGAGUUAUAUCGUUUAUAAUUAAAUCCAUAAUAAAAUUUGGAGGGUCGUUCUGCCGCUCAUCGGCAAAGAUCCCAUCCGGCAUCCGCAUAACUAGAUAAAACAAACAUGGUGUCCUAUCUUAAUGAACGGGGCAGAGCGUCUACCGUUCCCCGUAAGAAACAAAUAGCCAGAUCGUCGGCGGAAGCGCUGCGACAUUGUUUAUAAAUGGUCUCCCACCGCCGUCCGAUGAAGAUUGACUACUGGUAUAGUUCGAUGGAAUCUGCAGAUAAAUAAAUCAACAAGGCAUCAGACAGCGCCCAGUGAACUUGAGCAUGUACAUGCGCAUUUCGUCGUCUGGUUUGGCGUCUUGACAAGAGGUUGAUCAUGCACCGAUGCACUCGUUUCACGACUACAGCAUGUCAACGUGUUUGAUGUUUUUUAUAUCAAAAACAACGUUUUUGAUGUCGGCCAGCAGUUAAGCACUGGUCCGGUUACACACUCCAUAGUUCU
RNAcentral lists this long non-coding RNA (721 nucleotides) under Brachypodium distachyon (stiff brome). RNAcentral describes it as "long non-coding RNA (BDIS_LNC000888)". Lineage: Eukaryota; Viridiplantae; Streptophyta; Magnoliopsida; Poales; Poaceae. The record is from RNAcentral.